CGGGUGAGUAAUGUCUGGGAAACUGCCUGAUGGAGGGGGAUAACUACUGGAAACGGUAGCUAAUACCGCAUAACGUCGCAAGACCAAAGAGGGGGACCUUCGGGCCUCUUGCCAUCGGAUGUGCCCAGAUAGGAUUAGCUAGUAGGUGGGGUAACGGCUCACCUAGGCGACGAUCCCUAGCUGGUCUGAGAGGAUGACCAGCCACACUGGAACUGAGACACGGUCCAG
Molecule: ribosomal RNA, 228 nt
Filed under: uncultured bacterium
Lineage: Bacteria
Description: partial 16S ribosomal RNA
Rfam family: Bacterial small subunit ribosomal RNA
Source: RNAcentral